This 508-nucleotide ribosomal RNA is filed under the name uncultured bacterium. RNAcentral's name for it is "bacterial SSU rRNA". It matches the Rfam family "Bacterial small subunit ribosomal RNA", at positions 9 to 513 of the family's 1533-position model. The record is from RNAcentral.
GAGUUUGAUCAUGGCUCAGAUUGAACGCUGGCGGCAGGCCUAACACAUGCAAGUCGAGCGGUAGAGAGAAGCUUGCUUCUCUUGAGAGCGGCGGACGGGUGAGUAAUGCCUAGGAAUCUGCCUGGUAGUGGGGGAUAACGCUCGGAAACGGACGCUAAUACCGCAUACGUCCUACGGGAGAAAGCAGGGGACCUUCGGGCCUUGCGCUAUCAGAUGAGCCUAGGUCGGAUUAGCUAGUUGGUGAGGUAAUGGCUCACCAAGGCGACGAUCCGUAACUGGUCUGAGAGGAUGAUCAGUCACACUGGAACUGAGACACGGUCCAGACUCCUACGGGAGGCAGCAGUGGGGAAUAUUGGACAAUGGGCGAAAGCCUGAUCCAGCCAUGCCGCGUGUGUGAAGAAGGUCUUCGGAUUGUAAAGCACUUUAAGUUGGGAGGAAGGGCAGUAAAUUAAUACUUUGCUGUUUGACGUUACCGACAGAAUAAGCACCGGCUAACUCUGUGCCAGCC